CAUCGUGUUCAUAAUGAGAAAACGAAGAGGUGCAAAAGCGGAAGUCGUCACAGUAAAACAGGAUGAUCUGUACUCUAACGUAAACGAGAGGGAUGCUCACGUGUCUGAAUCAGCCGUUUGUGAUGAUGCUCCGUAUGCCAGCGUUUCAUACAGCAAACCCAGA
This is a long non-coding RNA of Sinocyclocheilus rhinocerous, 163 nucleotides long. RefSeq lists it as uncharacterized. The record is from RefSeq and is a predicted model, not a curated record. NCBI's taxonomy places the organism in Eukaryota, Metazoa, Chordata, Actinopteri, Cypriniformes, Cyprinidae. The transcript has 3 exons.